ACCCAUGAGCUGAUCAUGAAGCAUCAUUUUAAAGAAGAGACCAAAAGAAAGAAGAUAAUUGCCCUCAAAUCAAUGACUCAAGAAGAAGAAGAUUCAGAAAAAUCAAAAAAUAGUGAAGAUGAUGAGCAUUUGGUAUUGAUCACAAGAAAAUUUAGAUGGUUUAUGAAGAAAAGAAGAUAAGAAACCAAGAGAAGACCACU
RNAcentral lists this long non-coding RNA (200 nucleotides) under Elaeis guineensis (African oil palm). RNAcentral's name for it is "long non-coding RNA (EGUI_LNC046231)". Lineage: Eukaryota; Viridiplantae; Streptophyta; Magnoliopsida; Arecales; Arecaceae. The record is from RNAcentral.